UAUAGAGGUGGCAAGCGUUGUUCGGAAUUACUGGGCGUAAAGGGCGCGUAGGCGGUUCGUUAAGUCCUGUGUGAAAUCCCCCGGCUCAACUGGGGAACUGCACAGGAAACUAGCGGGCUUGAGUUCGGGAGAGGGAAGCGGAAUUCCGGGUGUAGCGGUGAAAUGCGUAGAUAUCCGGAGGAACACCGGUGGCGAAGGCGGCUUCUUGGACCGACACUGACGCUGAGGCGCGAAAGCUAGGGGAGCAAACGGG
RNAcentral lists this ribosomal RNA (253 nucleotides) under uncultured bacterium. RNAcentral describes it as "partial 16S ribosomal RNA". It matches the Rfam family "Bacterial small subunit ribosomal RNA", at positions 524 to 776 of the family's 1533-position model. The record is from RNAcentral.